UUACGGACAUAUCACGUUGAAACACCAGUUCCCGUACAAUCACUGAAGUUAAGCAACAUCGAACCUGGUUAAUACCUAGAUGGGUGACCGUUUGAGAAUACCAGGUGCUGUAA
Acanthosepion pharaonis is the source of this 113-nucleotide non-coding RNA. The record is from the annotation of a GenBank genome assembly. Lineage: Eukaryota; Metazoa; Mollusca; Cephalopoda; Sepiida; Sepiidae.